AUACUUACCUGGCAGGGGAGCAAUAGCCAUGAUCCCUAAGGUGGCUCUCCCAGAGUGAGGCUGGUUCAUUGCACUCCGUACCAGUUGACCUCUGCGAUUUCCUCAAAUGUGGGAAACUCGACUGCAUAAUUUAUGGUAGUUGGGGUACUGCGUUCGCGCUUUCCCCGG
This is a small nuclear RNA of Pelobates fuscus (common spadefoot toad), 168 nucleotides long. RefSeq annotates it as U1 spliceosomal RNA. The record is from RefSeq and is a predicted model, not a curated record. The transcript has a single exon. Lineage: Eukaryota; Metazoa; Chordata; Amphibia; Anura; Pelobatidae.